RNAcentral lists this ribosomal RNA (512 nucleotides) under uncultured Glomus. RNAcentral's name for it is "SSU rRNA". It matches the Rfam family "Eukaryotic small subunit ribosomal RNA", at positions 569 to 1081 of the family's 1831-position model. Lineage: Eukaryota; Fungi; Glomeromycota; Glomeromycetes; Glomerales; Glomeraceae. The record is from RNAcentral.
AGCAGCCGCGGUAAUUCCAGCUCCAAUAGCGUAUAUUAAGGUUGUUGCAGUUAAAAAGCUCGUAGUUGAAUUUCGGGACCAAUCUGCCGGUCGUGCCUCCGGUACGCACUGGUUUUAUUGGUCUCUCCCUUCUGACGAACCAUGAUGUCAUUAAUUUGGUGUCAUGGGGAAUCAGGACUGUUACUUUGAAAAAAUUAGAGCGUUUAUAGCAGGCUCACGCUUGAAUACAUUAGCAUGGAAUAAUGAAAUAGGACGUUUGACCCUAUUUUGUUGGUUUCUAGGAUCGACGUAAUGAUUAAUAGGGAUAGUUGGGGGCAUUAGUAUUCAAUUGUCAGAGGUGAAAUUCUUGGAUUUAUUGAAGACUAACUACUGCGAAAGCAUUUGCCAAGGAUGUUUUCAUUAAUCAAGAACGAAAGUUAGGGGAUCGAAGACGAUCAGAUACCGUCGUAGUCUUAACCAUAAACUAUGCCGACUAGGGAUCGGAUGAUGUUAAUUUUUUUAAUGACUCAUUC